Molecule: ribosomal RNA, 482 nt
Filed under: uncultured bacterium
Lineage: Bacteria
Description: partial 16S ribosomal RNA
Rfam family: Bacterial small subunit ribosomal RNA
Source: RNAcentral
GACGAACGCUGGCGGCGUGGAUUAGGCAUGCAAGUCGAGCGAGAACCGUAGCAAUACGGGGACAGCGGCGAAAGGGACAGUAAUGUGUAGGUACCUACCCCCGGGUUCGGGGUAGCUGCGGGAAACUGCAGGUAAUACCGAAUAAUGUCUCCGGACCAAAGGUGUGAUUCCACCUGGGGAGAGGCCUGCAUCCUAUUAGCUUGUUGGUGGGGUAACGGCCUACCAAGGCGACGAUGGGUAGCGGGUGUGAGAGCAUGACCCGCGUCAUUGGGACUGAGACACUGACCAGACACCUACGGGUGGCUGCAGUCGAGAAUCUUCGGCAAUGGGCGCAAGCCUGACCGAGCGACGCCGCGUGCGGGAUGAAGGCCUUCGGGUUGUAAACCGCUGUCGUAGAGGAGGAAAUGCAGGGGGGUUCUCCCCUUUGCUUGACCUAUUCUAGGAGGAAGUACGGGCUAAGUUCGUGCCAGCAGCCGCAGUAA